Molecule: ribosomal RNA, 473 nt
Filed under: uncultured bacterium
Lineage: Bacteria
Description: bacterial SSU rRNA
Rfam family: Bacterial small subunit ribosomal RNA
Source: RNAcentral
ACUCCUACGGGAGGCAGCAGUAGGGAAUCUUCCACAAUGGGCGCAAGCCUGAUGGAGCAACACCGCGUGAGUGAAGAAGGGUUUCGGCUCGUAAAGCUCUGUUGUUAAAGAAGAACACGUAUGAGAGUAACUGUUCAUACGUUGACGGUAUUUAACCAGAAAGUCACGGCUAACUACGUGCCAGCAGCCGCGGUAAUACGUAGGUGGCAAGCGUUAUCCGGAUUUAUUGGGCGUAAAGAGAGUGCAGGCGGUUUUCUAAGUCUGAUGUGAAAGCCUUCGGCUUAACCGGAGAAGUGCAUCGGAAACUGGAUAACUUGAGUGCAGAAGAGGGUAGUGGAACUCCAUGUGUAGCGGUGGAAUGCGUAGAUAUAUGGAAGAACACCAGUGGCGAAGGCGGCUACCGGGUCUGCAACUGACGCUGAGACUCGAAAGCAUGGGUAGCGAACAGGAUUAGAUACCCUGGUAGGAUAGCG